Hymenopellis radicata is the source of this 101-nucleotide non-coding RNA. Lineage: Eukaryota; Fungi; Basidiomycota; Agaricomycetes; Agaricales; Physalacriaceae. The record is from the annotation of a GenBank genome assembly.
GCAUUAAUGGGGUAGUGGUAACCUGGGUCGUUGCCAUCGUGGCUAUUGGCAUGUCCUCUCUUCUCGUCGACCCGCCGGGGCUUCGAUUCCCCCUUAAUGCA